AGGUGCGAUCAUACCAGCACUAAUGCACCGGAUCCCAUCAGAACUCCGCAGUUAAGCGUGCUUGGGCGAGAGUAGUACUAGGAUGGGUGACCACCUGGGAAGUCCUUGUAUUGCACCUCU
This 120-nucleotide ribosomal RNA is filed under the name Medicago truncatula (barrel medic). Lineage: Eukaryota; Viridiplantae; Streptophyta; Magnoliopsida; Fabales; Fabaceae. The record is from RNAcentral.